AUUGAACGCUGGCGGCAGGCCUAACACAUGCAAGUCGAGCGGCAGCGACAACAUUGAAUCUUCGGAGGAUUUGUUGGGCGGCGAGCGGCGGACGGGUGAGUAAUGGCUGGGAACCUGCCCGAUAGAGGGGGAUAACAGUUGGAAACGACUGCUAAUACCGCAUGAUGUCUACGGACCAAAGAGGGGGACCUUCGGGCCUCUCGCGUCAAGAUAUGCCUAGGUGGGAUUAGCUAGUUGGUGAGGCAAUGGCUCACCAAGGCGACGAUCCCUAGCUGGUCUGAGAGGAUGAUCAGCCACACUGGAACUGAGACACGGUCCAGACUCCUACGGGAGGCAGCAGUGGGGAAUAUUGCACAAUGGGCGCAAGCCUGAUGCAGCCAUGCCGCGUGUUGAA
This 394-nucleotide ribosomal RNA is filed under the name uncultured bacterium. Its description in RNAcentral is "bacterial SSU rRNA". It matches the Rfam family "Bacterial small subunit ribosomal RNA", at positions 30 to 408 of the family's 1533-position model. The record is from RNAcentral.